GCACAACUAAACACAAAGAUAUUGUAAUUUUGUUUUCUAUAUAGGCAAGAAAAGGUAUGCUGAGAUGACCGGAGAGGCGAUGAACGAGGAGGCGAUGAGAGACGUCGAUCUUACACCAGAACAAAAGGAAGAGGUGAAGCAUGACCUUGAGAAAAAAAUCAAAGAAGAUGUCGAGGAGGAGAGACUCAAACUCGGUGUCUAAUCGAGCAUGGCAGCCCACAAGGAUCUUCACUGAGAAUCAAGACCUAGUCUGUUUAAUGGACAUCAUUAAAUAAACAUUUGCAGAUC
Haliotis rufescens (red abalone) is the source of this 288-nucleotide long non-coding RNA. RefSeq lists it as uncharacterized. The record is from RefSeq and is a predicted model, not a curated record. NCBI's taxonomy places the organism in Eukaryota, Metazoa, Mollusca, Gastropoda, Lepetellida, Haliotidae. The transcript has 3 exons.